CUUCUCCAGGGGGAUCUUCCCAGCCCAGGAAUCAAACCCAGAGAGGACCCUGAAGUGGACCAGUUCCCCCAAGGAUACACUGGGACGUGAAUGCGGAGGCUAUAGGAAGCCUCCUUCCAGCAGAGGGGGUAGGGAAGCUCCAGGAUACCAGAGAGAGAAGGAGAGGCGUCUGCCUCCCCAGGAGGCAAGCAGAUGCUCCCAAGGGCUUCACUUGCCUCCCUGCCCAUCACAACUUCCUGCAUUCAACAGCUCUGCAACCUUCAGCAAGUCACUCCCCAUCCCUAGGCCUUUGUCUCCUCAACUGUGAAAGAAACAGGUCAGGAUAAUUUGAGGUCUCAGAAGGCUGGUUCUCAUACCAAACCUGGCCAACAGAUCUGCUGGUAUCACCAACCAACACUGCAAAGGUCAGCAGCCAAGUCCUGGUUUCCAACGUCCUGUGGUCCGGACCAUCUUGGAGAUUUACAUCCAGCAAAACACAUUGGAAAACUCUGUGCCACACGACACAGCCCAUGCCAAGAGACCAGGCUGGGGUUCUGGAAAUACAGACCUUAAAGAAGAGAGGUCGCAGCAUAAAACAAAUCCAAGGCAACAAAUGCUCUUUCUUUCACCUUAUCUUAGUUCCAGAGCUCCACAUUUAAUGAAAUAUUUCAGAAUGGAAGAGGUGAGGACAGGAAACAUCUGCCCUGCUCCCGAGACUCUCCGAGCCACACUUCAACCCAGAGCAAAUUAAAGCCCAGGCUCCUAAGACGGAAGUCCUGUGAUGAGAGCAGAGAGCAAGCUGGAGGGUUAGGGGCUGAGCCCUGGCCAACUGCAGUAAUAAAACAGUGCAUGGAUGUGGAGGCUUUGGAACAAAAAUACCUUGUAGCUAUUAUUUUCCUGAGUCUCUACCCAAGCACACACCCCCUCUCCCAUUCUUUUAAUCUGGAGCUACUGAGAAGCGGUAUUUUUCUCACCUUUGCAA
This is a non-coding RNA of Odocoileus virginianus texanus, 961 nucleotides long. The record is from RefSeq and is a predicted model, not a curated record. NCBI's taxonomy places the organism in Eukaryota, Metazoa, Chordata, Mammalia, Artiodactyla, Cervidae.